Molecule: ribosomal RNA, 492 nt
Filed under: uncultured bacterium
Lineage: Bacteria
Description: partial 16S ribosomal RNA
Rfam family: Bacterial small subunit ribosomal RNA
Source: RNAcentral
AGUGAACGCUGGCGGUAGGCCUAACACAUGCAAGUCGAACGGCAGCACAGUAAGAGCUUGUUCUUACGGGUGGCGAGUGGCGGACGGGUGAGGAAUACAUCGGAAUCUACUUUUUCGUGGGGGAAAACGUAGGGAAAAUUAUGCUAAUACCGCAUACGACCUACGGGUGAAAGCAGGGGAUCUUUGGACCUUGCGUGAUUGAAUGAGCCGAUGUCGGAUUAGUUAGUUGGCGGGGUAAAGGCCCACCAAGGCGACGAUCCGUAGCUGGUCUGAGAGGAUGAUCAGCCACACUGGAACUGAGACACGGUCCAGACUCCUACGGGAGGCAGCAGUGGGGAAUAUUCGACAAUGGGCGCAAGCCUGAUCCAGCCAUACCGCGUGGGUGAAGAAGGCCUUCGGGUUGUAAAACCCUUUUGUUUGGAAAGAAAAGCAGCAGGUUAAUACCCCGCUGUUCUGACGUUACCCAAAGAAUAAGCACCGGCUAACUUCGUG